UGCACUCACUACUGCAAGUCGCUCUGGAUAAGAGCGUCUGCUAAAUGACUCAAA
Molecule: non-coding RNA, 54 nt
Organism: Salmo salar (Atlantic salmon)
Lineage: Eukaryota; Metazoa; Chordata; Actinopteri; Salmoniformes; Salmonidae
Source: Rfam